RNAcentral lists this ribosomal RNA (433 nucleotides) under uncultured bacterium. RNAcentral describes it as "partial 16S ribosomal RNA". It matches the Rfam family "Bacterial small subunit ribosomal RNA", at positions 29 to 507 of the family's 1533-position model. The record is from RNAcentral.
AACGAACGCUGGCGGCAUGCCUAACACAUGCCAGUCGAACGAACCCUUCGGGGUUAGUGGCGCACGGGUGCGUAACGCGUGGGAAUCUGCCCUUUGCUUCGGAAUAACUCAGGGAAACUUGUGCUAAUACCGGAUGAUGUCUUCGGACCAAAGAUUUAUCGGCAAGGGAUGAGCCCGCGUAGGAUUAGGUAGUUGGUGGGGUAAAGGCCUACCAAGCCGACGAUCCUUAGCUGGUCUGAGAGGAUGAUCAGCCACACUGGGACUGAGACACGGCCCAGACUCCUACGGGAGGCAGCAGUGGGGAAUAUUGGACAAUGGGCUCAAGCCUGAUCCAGCAAUGCCGCGUGAGUGAUGAAGGCCCUCGGGUCGUAAAGCUCUUUUACCAGGGAUGAUAAUGACAGUACCUGGAGAAUAAGCUCCGGCUAACUCCGUG